AUUGAACGCUGGCGGCAGGCCUAACACAUGCAAGUCGAACGGUAGCACAGAGAGCUUGCUCUCGGGUGACGAGUGGUGGACGGGUGAGUAAUGUCUGGGAAACUGCCCGAUGGAGGGGGAUAACUACUGGAAACGGUAGCUAAUACCGCAUAACGUCGCAAGACCAAAGUGGGGGACCUUCGGGCCUCACACCAUCGGAUGUGCCCAGAUGGGAUUAGCUAGUAGGUGGGGUAAUGGCUCACCUAGGCGACGAUCCCUAGCUGGUCUGAGAGGAUGACCAGCCACACUGGAACUGAGACACGGUCCAGACUCCUACGGGAGGCAGCAGUGGGGAAUAUUGCACAAUGGGCGCAAGCCUGAUGCAGCCAUGCCGCGCGUAUGAAGAAGGCCUUCGGGUUGUAAAGUACUUUCAGCGGGGAGGAAGGCGGUGAAGUUAAUAACUUCACCGAUUGACGUUACCCGCAGAAGAAGCACCGGCUAACUCCGUGCCAGCAGCCGCAGUAA
RNAcentral lists this ribosomal RNA (504 nucleotides) under uncultured bacterium. Its description in RNAcentral is "partial 16S ribosomal RNA". It matches the Rfam family "Bacterial small subunit ribosomal RNA", at positions 30 to 523 of the family's 1533-position model. The record is from RNAcentral.